GCGGGUGUGGUGAAACUGGUAGACACGCUAGAUUUAGGAUCUAGUGAGAAAUCGUGUGGGUUCAAGUCCCUCCACCCGUA
Molecule: transfer RNA, 80 nt
Filed under: Ophirina amphinema
Lineage: Eukaryota; Jakobea; Jakobida; Ophirinidae
Description: tRNA-Leu
Rfam family: tRNA
About the family: Transfer RNA (tRNA) molecules are approximately 80 nucleotides in length. Their secondary structure includes four short double-helical elements and three loops (D, anti-codon, and T loops).
Source: RNAcentral